AAAGUCGUAACAAGGUUUCCGUAGGUGAACCUGCGGAAGGAUCAUUAACAAAUUCAAAACUCGUCCGUAAGUUGAGUUGGCGAGGACCUGCUUGGAGCAAUCUGAGUGGGCCUCAUCUGGCUUGGCUUAUUGGUACAAACAUUUACAUUCAUGAUUGACAACUAAUGGAGAACCAAUGAUAAAAAUAGUAAACAACUUUUAACAAUGGAUCUCUCGGCUCUU
Molecule: unclassified non-coding RNA, 222 nt
Filed under: Ascomycota sp.
Lineage: Eukaryota; Fungi; Ascomycota
Description: partial contains small subunit ribosomal RNA, internal transcribed spacer 1, and 5.8S ribosomal RNA
Rfam family: Eukaryotic small subunit ribosomal RNA (bases 1-47)
Source: RNAcentral